Molecule: non-coding RNA, 1467 nt
Organism: Oryzias latipes (Japanese medaka)
Lineage: Eukaryota; Metazoa; Chordata; Actinopteri; Beloniformes; Adrianichthyidae
Source: RefSeq, a predicted model, not a curated record
GAAAAUUGCCUUCACCUGCCUCCCCCUCUCCGGAGCUGUUGGACGUGUCUGGUGGACUCAUUUUACUGGUUAACCCCUUUCAUGCCUGGAUUCAUUUCCAAUUACCGCAACAGCGGCUGAACUCCACUGAUCUGCUCAGCCACAAACAGCUAACCCUCCAGACUGCAUCAAACUGACUUCUUUUGAUCAACUGGCAUCUGAAAAAAGAGCAGAAUUCCUUAUAAACACUGUGGACACAUCAAGGAGCUCUUACUCCAAUCACAAGAUCAUUAGAAAGUCUCCUUGUCUAUCAGAGAUCUCCUUUAUUGCUCCCAUUACAAAUAUAGAAUAAUGAGGAAAUAUUUCUCUUCUGAUUUUGAAGCCAAAAAAGGAGAAGGGUUGAACCAUUUAAAUUAGCUUUUUAAAACCUGAUGUAUUUCCUUUUCUUUCUUUUAAUGUUGGAUAAUUUCCACUCAAAUCAAUCAGACGUUAGAAUAAAUAGACAACCAAAUGUGUCAUCUUUUUCUUGUGUUUAUCUUAAAUUUCAUUUCUAUAAACGAACCCAAUUUGAAAGUCAGAUGAGCUCUGAAGAACUCGUGCAAAACACGGGAAAUUAAGCCUGGUUCUUGAGAUAGACAAAAGUGUGUGAUUAGCCUCCAUCUCUGUUUUGAGGACCAUUCCCUCCAUCUGAUGAAACAGCAGGAAUCCUGACCUUAUUAUUCACUGUUUGCUGGUUUUAUGAGUUACUAAAUGUGGGGGUGAAAGACAGACAGACAAACAAAAAUCCAAUUUGUCCGUUUCCCCUUUUGCUUUUCCAGUUUCUCGCUCGAUAGUUGGACACUAUGUAAUGCAAAUGCAAGCCUUUCAGUCGCCUGUGAUUGAAGCUCCUGAUUAAAAAGGAUGGACUGUCUGAAGUUUGCAUAUUGGAUAGGAGAGGUAAUCAGCCGUGUGGGAAGUUUCAAUGACGCCUCAGAGGGAAGAUAUCUUUUAUUGCAAAAUACGGUCAGACCUGCCGCAUGCAGGAGCCAAACUGUUUCUCACCCUUCUUUUUCUCCACGUUUGUUAAAUAAAACUGCACGCAUGACCUGAAUUAACCACAGGUGCUCUUACAACUUCAUCUGAAUUCAUCUUCCUCUUUGAAUUUUAUGGAAAAAGUGCAAGAGUCAACAGCUGGGUAGAGUAAAUACACCAUGCAUGAUGCAUAAUAUUAAGUGAUUUUUUUUAACAUUACACAUUCUAAUCUGGUUUGAAAUGUUGACUUGUGUUCAUUUUUUAUAAAACGCACAGUGUGGAACAACAGGUUAUAAUGCUUUAAAAAAGCGGGAGAAGGGCCACAAUUUUGAGUUUGUAAAGAAAAAAAGUCCAUUUUCAUUAGCUUUUGUAGUGCGAAAUAUGUUUUUCUUUUUAUUUGUAUUUACAGGUUGUCAUCUGUUUAAACUUGAAUAUUUUUGUCCUCAGUAAAUCAUCAAAUUAUAUCUUAAUAGUUGC